GAUGAACGCUAGCGGCAGGCCUAAUACAUGCAAGACGAACGGUAACUUGAGUAGCAAUAUUUGAGCAAGAGUGUCGUAAGGGUGCGUAACACGUAUGCAAUCUGCCCUCAACAGGAGGAUAGCUCCCCGAAAGGGGAAUUAACACUCCAUAAGAUUGUGGUCUGGCAUCAGACAGCAAUUAAAACUACGGUGGUUGAGGAUGAGCAUGCGCAUGAUUAGUUAGUUGGCGGGGUAACGGCCCACCAAGACGAUGAUCAUUAGGGGAACUGAGAGGUUGAUCCCCCACACUGGCACUGAGAUACGGGCCAGACUCCUACGGGAGGCAGCAGUAGGGAAUAUUGGACAAUGGGUGCGAGCCUGAUCCAGCCAUGCCGCGUGCAGGAAGACGGCCUUCUGGGUUGUAAACUGCUUUUGCCAGGGGAUAAAAAGUCCCUGCGGGGAAAAUUGAAGGUACCUGGUGAAUAAGCCACGGCUAACUACGUGCCAGCAGCCGCGGUAAUACGUAGGUGGCAAGCGUUGUCCGGAUUUAUUGGGUUUAAAGGGUGCGUAGGCGGUCCAUUAAGUCAGUGGUGAAAUACGGCAGCUUAACUGUCGAGGUGCCAUUGAUACUGGAGGACUUGAGUACAGACGAGGUAGGC
RNAcentral lists this ribosomal RNA (638 nucleotides) under uncultured bacterium. RNAcentral's name for it is "bacterial SSU rRNA". It matches the Rfam family "Bacterial small subunit ribosomal RNA", at positions 28 to 662 of the family's 1533-position model. The record is from RNAcentral.